GAUGAAUGCUGGCGGCGUGCCUAACACAUGCAAGUCGAGCGGCAGCGCGGUCUUCAGACUGGCGGCGAGCGGCGGACGGCUGAGUAACGCGUGGGAACAUACCCCAAAGUGAGGGAUAACCGCCCGAAAGGGUGGCUAAUACCGCAUAUGAUCUUCGGAUUAAAGGAUUUAUCCGCUUUGGGAAUGGCCUGCGUACGAUUAGAUAGUUGGUGAGGUAAUGGCUCACCAAGUCGACGAUCGUUAUCUGGUCUGAGAGGAUGAUCAGUCAGACUGGAACUGAGACACGGUCCAGACUCCUACGGGAGGCAGCAGUGAGGAAUCUUCCACAAUGGGCGAAAGCCUGAUGGAGCAACGCCGCGUGCAGGAUGAAGGCCUUCGGGUUGUAAACUGCUUUUAUGAGUGAAGAAUAUGACGGUAACUCAUGAAUAAGCACCGGCUAACUACGUGCCAGCCGCCGCAGUAA
RNAcentral lists this ribosomal RNA (463 nucleotides) under uncultured bacterium. Its description in RNAcentral is "partial 16S ribosomal RNA". It matches the Rfam family "Bacterial small subunit ribosomal RNA", at positions 28 to 523 of the family's 1533-position model. The record is from RNAcentral.